GCCAUGAGUUAAACACAAAGCGAACUAUUCUUUUGCCUUUUACUAAAGAAUACCGAUUAUUUGGUAUGUUGAGACCAUGAAUUGAAGAUUUUUGAAGACCUUAUAAUCAUCAGCAG
Molecule: small nuclear RNA, 116 nt
Organism: Vigna unguiculata (cowpea)
Lineage: Eukaryota; Viridiplantae; Streptophyta; Magnoliopsida; Fabales; Fabaceae
Product: U5 spliceosomal RNA
Source: RefSeq, a predicted model, not a curated record